Molecule: long non-coding RNA, 2276 nt
Filed under: Triticum aestivum (bread wheat)
Lineage: Eukaryota; Viridiplantae; Streptophyta; Magnoliopsida; Poales; Poaceae
Description: long non-coding RNA (TAES_LNC004979)
Source: RNAcentral
CUUUCCGGUGUUGCUUCUUCGGGUUGGUUCUGAUAACGUCGCGUUUGUGAGGAUCCGUUCUACUUCGUCCGUUUGUCUUCUUCAUGGACUCGUUCUUCUUCCUUGCGGGAUCUCAGGCAAGAUGACCAUACCCUCAAAAUCACUUCUAUCUUUGCUUGCUAGUUGCUCGCUCUUUUGCUAUGCCUAUGCUGCGAUACCUACCAUUUGCUUAUCAUGCCUCCCAUAAUGUUGAGCCAAGCCUCUAACCCACCUUGUCCUAGCAAACCGUUGUUUGGCUAUUUUACCGCUUUGCUUAGCCCCUCUUAUAGCGUUGUUAGUUGCAGGUGAAGAUUGGAGUUUGUUCCAUGUUGGAACAUGGAUAUUUUGUUGGGAUAUCACAAUAUCUCUUAUUUAAUUAAUGCAUCUAUAUACUUGGUAAAGGGUGGAAGGCUCGGCCUUAUGCCUGGUGUUUUGUUCCACUCUUGCUGCCCUAGUUUCCGUCAUAUAUGUGUUAUGUUCCCGGAUUUUGUGUUCCUUACGCGGUUGGGUUAUAAUGGGAACCCCUUGACAGUUCGCCUUGAAUAAAACUCCUCCAGCAAGGCCCAACAUUGGUUUUACCAUUUGCCACCUAGCCUUUUCUUUCCCUUGAGUCGGCCGGCUCAAGGGUCAUCUUAUUUUAACCCCCCCGGCCCAGUGCUUCUCUAAGUGCUGGUCCAAACUGAGCGAUAUCCGAGGCUACCCGGGGCAACUCUAGGCUGGCUUACCCGACGUCUUGCUCAUUCGGUGUGCCCUGAGAACGAGAUAUGUGCAGCUCCUAUCGGGAUUUGUCGGCACAUCUGGGUGGUCUUGCUGGUCUUGUUUUACCAUUGUCGAAAUAUCUUGUAACCGGGAUUCCGAGCCUGGUCGGGUCUUCCCGCUAGAAGGAAUAUCCUUCGUUGACCGUGAGAGCUUGUGAUGGGCUAAGUUGGGACUCCCCUACAGGGAUUUGAACUUUCGAAAGCCGUGCCCGCGGUUAUGGGCAGAUGGGAAUUUUUUAAUGUCCGGUUGUAGAAAACAUGAAGUUGACCUUAAUUAAAAUGCACCAACCGCGUGUGUAACCAUGAUGGUCUCUUCUCGGCGGGGUUCGGGAAGUGAACACGGUGUUGGAGUUAUGCUUGAACGUCGGUUGUUCUAGGAUCACUUCUUGAUCACAGUUUCUCGACCGUGCCUUGCCUUCUCUUCUCGCUCUCAUUUGCGUAUGUUAGCCACCAUAUAUGCUAGUGCUUGCUGCAGCUCUAGCUCAUACUUUUACUCUGUCCAUAAGCUUAAAUAGUCUUGAUCGCGAGGGUGUGAGAUUGCUGAGUCCCCAUGACUCACAAAUUUUUCCAAAACCAGCUUGCAGGUGCCGAUGAUACUGUGCAGGUGACGUAACCGAGCUCAAGGAGGAGCUCGAUGAAGAUUGUGUCCGUUAUGGUGUUCCAUUUCAGUUGAUCAGUAGUGGAGCCCAGUCGGGACGAUCGGGGAUCUGUGUAGCAUUUGGGGUAGUCUUCUUUUAUUUUGGUUCCGUAGUCGGACCUUGUCUGUAUCUGGAUGAUGUAAUGCUUUAUUCAUGUAUUGUGUGAAGUGGCGAUUGUAAGCCAACUAUGUAUCUCUUUCCCUUAUGUAUUACAUGGGUUGUGUAAAGAUUACCUCACUUGCGACAUUGCUUACAAUGCGGUUAUGCCUCUAAGUCGUGCUUCAACACGUGGGAGAUAUAGCCGCAUCGUGGGCAUUACAAGUUGGUAAUCAGAGCCUUCCCCGACCUUAGGAGCCCCCUGCUUGAUCGAAUCAUUGGCGUUGUUGAGUCUAGAAAAAUGUUUUGAGUCAUUUAGGAAUUAUAUAUCGGAGAGUUAGGAAUUCUUUUUACUCCCCAGUCCCUUCAUCGCUCUGGUGAGGCAUCCUGACAUAGAGUUUUGACUCUUCUCUUCUCAAAUUUCACUAAAAGAAUUUAGGAUCACGCGAGUAUCUUGGAAUUAUUCCGAUGGUUUUGUGACGAGAACAUUGUUCUUGGUGCCUCCUGACAUUUAGGAGUUGUGGCAGUGCCCCGGGGAGUUGAGCUCCGAGGUGUUGUCGUCACAAUUUUAUCGUUGCAGUUCUGGAAUACAUGAGUUUCGCCGACAUCGAAAAUCUCUUUUAUGCAGCAACCGCACUAGGGGCUUCCUGCUUAGUUAUUUUUCUCUUUCAGGACUUUAAUCUCUGGAAAACCUGUCUGGCAGCAGGAUUGCCGAACACAUGAUGCAGCAACCAAGGAGGCACAAAGCUACGUCACACCACGGAAC